AUGGAAUCUCUCCCCGUCCCGAGCGUGCAGGCCAUGGUGGCGGCCACCGGCGGAGCCGAUGUGCCACCGAGGUAUCUCCGGCCUGCGGAGGCGGUCACCGGCAUCGUCGACGGCGAGGGUGAGGCCCAGAUCCCCAUCAUCGACUACCGGAGGCUGCUGCUGGAGCUGGAUCCCCGCGGCGAGGAGUCCGCGCGCCUCCACAGCGCCUGCCAGGAAUGGGGCUUCUUCCAGCUGGUUAACCACAGUGUCCCGGCCGAUGUGGUGGAGGGAAUGAAGGCCAACAUUCAGCAAUUCUUUCAGCUACCCGCAGAGACAAAGAAACGAUUCGCGCAGGAGCGAGGGCAGCUGGAAGGCUACGGUCAGCUGUUCGUCGUCUCGGAGGAUCAGAAGCUUGACUGGGCCGAUAUGCUUUACCUGUACACACAGCCACCUGAGAGCAGGAACACCAAGUUCUGGCCUGACCAGCCUGUUAACUUCAGAUCGACGCUGGAUAGAUACUCUGGUGCUGUGAAGGAGAUAGCGGAUUCCCUUUUGGCGACGAUGGCGGAGAACUUGGGACUGAAACAAGAGGUGAUUGCUGACAGAUGCGUGGGCGGAGUGCAGUCUGUCAGGAUGAACUACUACCCGCCGUGCGCUCAAGCAGAGAAAGUCGUCGGCUUCUCCCCGCACUCUGACGCUGAUCUCCUGACCCUCGUCCUCCAAGUGAACCAUGUCCAAGGCCUGCAGAUCAAGAGGAACGGCAGCUGGUUCCCCGUCAGGCCUGUCGAGGGCGCUCUCAUCGUCAACAUUGGGGAUAUCUUUGAGAUCUUCACAAAUGGGAGGUACAGGAGCAUCGAGCACCGUGCGGUCGUCGACCCCAAGGAGGAACGGUUGUCGGCCGCGGCGUUCCACUCCCCGAACAUCCACGCCACGAUAGGCCCGCUGAAGGAGCUUACGGCGGACGAAGACGAGGCCUACAAGACGGUGGACCACGAGAACUUCAUGAGGCUUUUCUUCGCGACGAAGCUGGAGGGGAAGAGCUUCUUGGAUCGGAUGAAGCUGAAGUAG
This 1047-nucleotide ribosomal RNA is filed under the name Triticum aestivum (bread wheat). Its description in RNAcentral is "partial small subunit ribosomal RNA". The record is from RNAcentral. Lineage: Eukaryota; Viridiplantae; Streptophyta; Magnoliopsida; Poales; Poaceae.